GGAAUAUUGGACAAUGGGGGCAACCCUGAUCCAGCCAUCCCGCGUGCAGGACGACGGCCCUACGGGUUGUAAACUGCUUUUACGAGGGAAGAACAGGUCUCACGAGCUGAGAUUAUGAAGGUCACUUGGGAAUAAGCACCGGCUAACUCCGUGCCAGCAGCCGCGGUAAUACGGAGGGUGCAAGCGUUAUCCGGAAUCACUGGGUUUAAAGGGUGCGUAGGCGGCACGAUAAGUCAGGGGUGAAAGGCUGCAGCUUAACUGUAGAAUUGCCUUUGAUACUGUUGUGCUUGAAUUAGGAUGAGGUCGGCGGAAUGUGACAUGUAGCGGUGAAAUGCAUAGAUAUGUCAUAGAACACCGAUUGCGAAGGCAGCCGGCUAGGCCUUAAUUGACGCUGAGGCACGAAAGCGUGGGGAGCGAAC
This 419-nucleotide ribosomal RNA is filed under the name uncultured bacterium. RNAcentral's name for it is "bacterial SSU rRNA". It matches the Rfam family "Bacterial small subunit ribosomal RNA", at positions 358 to 773 of the family's 1533-position model. The record is from RNAcentral.